RNAcentral lists this ribosomal RNA (119 nucleotides) under Cervus hanglu yarkandensis (Yarkand deer). The record is from RNAcentral. Lineage: Eukaryota; Metazoa; Chordata; Mammalia; Artiodactyla; Cervidae.
CCGUACGGCCAUACCACCCUGAACGCGCCCGAUCUCGUCUGAUCUCGGAAGCUAAGUAGGGUCGGGCCUGGUUAGUACUUAGAUGGGAGACCGCCUGGGAAUACCGGGUGCUGUAGGCU